Molecule: RNA transcript, 5137 nt
Organism: Scophthalmus maximus (turbot)
Lineage: Eukaryota; Metazoa; Chordata; Actinopteri; Pleuronectiformes; Scophthalmidae
Gene name: proto-oncogene vav
Exons: 30
Source: RefSeq, a predicted model, not a curated record
CCCCUCAAACCUGCUGGGUCACUCCGAAAGCCAAUCAGAUUGUGCGGUGGGCACACGGUGCCCUUUAGAAAACGGCGAAUCACAGCGCCGGGAUUAACAUGAGGUCUCGGGGGGGGGCGCAGGUUGAGGCACGCCACGAGAGAGGGAUAGAGUUCAGAAAAACAAGAACAUGUAGGACUGUUAGGCAGCUGUCAACAUGUCAAGUCAGAGAUAGGCAUGCGUGCACAUCGGUGUGUCUUUGAAACUGUGUGUCUGUCCAGGCAGAACAUCAGGAGAGGGGAGGAUCUGCAGGGGAUAUGGGGAUGUGUGUUAGACUGACACCUGGUGGUCAGGUAAAAAAGUGACACAGGCUCUUUUUCGUCCCUCAGGUUAAAGGGGCACUCACACAUUUUAACACAUGCAAGUCAGUUUUUUUCUAAAUUAUGCAGACGGUAUUUGUGUUAAUCUGAAACUCCAGAGGAGCGUUGUUGAGUCUCGUGUUUACAGAAAAGUCUGUGAUUACGAGGCUGGACGUAUGAGACAGUGUUGUAUUGUGUUGCAGUGUAGGAUCCAGUGAUUUUGGAUCUUUCUGUGGACUGGGAAGUGUUUUCUAAGUGAUUAGUGUCAUAACAUGAAUUAAAAAUUGGCUGAAUACAUUGGUUGAGAGACUGAGCUAUGUAUUUCAAAAAAUAGAUAUAUAGAUAGACAGAAAGAUAGAUAGACAGAUUGUCAGCAAGUUGUUAAGUAGAAAGACACCACAACAUUAGAUCAUUUGACCACAUUGGAAGUUUCAUUGGGGGUUGUCUUAACAAUGGGGUUGACCUUGUGACAUAAUGUAUUGUGUACUACACAUGCACACUCACGUUUAUUGUACAGUAUCGUAUCUUAAUAUGUAUUAUGCAUUUACAGACCAUAUCACAUUCAGAGCCCACUCUGUUUUAACAAUUUUUACCACUCACGAGCAGCAACAGCUUUGUGUGUAUACAUUAGUGAGUGUGUGUGUGUGUGUGUGUGUGUGUGUGUGUGUGUGUGUGAAUGUGAAUGCGACUGUGUGAGCGUGCGUCAGAGGAAAAAGGAAGUUGCGGGACGAAGUUAAAAGCUUUCUACACAGUGCAGCUCUGCAGAACACCCACCACGGAAGAACGGCAGAGCGAGAGAGCGCCCGAAGUCUGAAGAUGAGAUAAUGAAAGGACGACAGGGCGGUGAACAUCGAGAGCGACGACACAGAACUGCCGGGAGAAAGUGCUGAAGAAGAGAAAGAUGGAGUUGUGGCGGCAGUGUGCGAUGUGGCUGAUCGACUGUCGAGUUCUCCCCGAGAACCACCGGGUCACGUGGGGGGGCUCACAGGUGUGUGACCUGGCUCAGGCUCUGAGAGACGGCGUGCUGCUCUGCCAGUUGCUCAACAACCUGCUGCCACAGGCCGUCAAUCUGAGAGAGAUCAACCUGCGCCCACAGAUGUCCCAGUUUCUGUGCCUAAAGAAUAUCCGGACGUUCCUGGGAGUUUGCCAAGAGAGGUUUCAUCUCAAGAAGAGUGAACUGUUCGAGGCCUUUGACCUGUUUGACGUUCGAGACUUUGCUAAGGUCAUAGACACUCUGUCCAUCCUGUCUCAUUCAUCGACAGCGAUACAAAGAGGACUCCAGCCUUUUCCCCUGGAGGAGUGCGCUGCUGACGAUGAGAUCUACAGCGGCCUGUCGGACCAGAUAGAUGAAACAGUGGACGAGGACGAGGACUUGUACGACUUCGUGGAGGACGAGGAGAACGAGGGCGAUGAGAUCUACGAGGACCUGAUGAGGAGGGAUGAACCACCUGAGACUCAACAGAAGACGGUCAUAGACAAACGAGAGUGCUGCCUGCAGGAGAUCAGACAGACGGAAGAGAAAUACGCCGAUACACUGGAAUCUAUAUUACAGCACUUUAUGAAACCACUCGAGAAGUUCCUCCAGGACCAAGACAUUGAGAGCAUCUUCAUCAACAUAGAGGAUUUGGCCUACACCCAUCGCAAAUUGUUGGAAGAGGUCCGCAGCUCCGUCCUGAAAUACGGCGCGAAGAAUCUCCACCAGGUGUUUCUGAGCUACAAGGAAAGGCUCUUAAUGUACGGCCGCUACUGUAGUCAGGUGGAGACGGCGACGAAACACCUCGACAAGCUCUCGAAUACGAGGGAGGACGUCAGGAUGAAGCUGGAGGAGUGUUCAAAGAGAGCCAACAGCGGACGCUUUUCUCUCAGAGAUCUGCUCAUGGUUCCUAUGCAGAGGGUCCUAAAAUACCCCCUGCUGUUACAGGAGCUGGUGAAACACACCACCGACCCAACAGACAAGGAAAACCUACGCACGGCUCUCGACGCCAUGAGAGACUUGGCGCAGUGUGUGAACGAGGUGAAACGAGACAAUGAGAUCAUCAGGCAGAUCACCACCUUCCAGUUGUCCAUAGAAAACACGACUCAGUCUCUCGCUCUCUACGGUCGCCCCAAGAUCGACGGAGAGCUGAAGAUCUGCAGCUCGGAGAAAAAGUCUAAACAGGACAGGUACGCGUUCCUGUUCGAUAAAGCCAUGUUUGUGUGCAAGAAGAAGAGCGGAGAGACUUUUGAGUUGAAGGAGAUCGUAGAACUGCAGCACUACCAGAUACGAGAUGAAACCACCGGAGAGAAGGACAAAAAAAAGUGGUCCUACCUUUUCCUCCUGCUGGACUGCUACGGGAGGUGCGGGUACGAUUUAUACUUCAAAACCCGAGAGCUGAAGAAGAAGUGGCUGGAGCAGUUUGAGAUGGCUCUGUCCAACAUGUGUCCGGAGAACUCCACGGCCAACAACCACGACUUCCAGAUGCACUGCUUCGAGGAAACCUCCUCCUGCAAGGCCUGCUCAAUGCUCCUGAGGGGGAUAUUCUUCCAGGGCUAUCGCUGCACUCGCUGUAAAAUGGCUGCACACAAAGAGUGUUUAGGCAGAGUGUCCGCCUGCGGACGGAACUCAGAUCACUCCGGCACGAGGAAGAAUAAAACGCAGAGAUCCUCCGGACAUUCCAGCGCUGGAUUUCCUAAAAUGGAGGUAUGUCAGGAGUAUUACGGCUUGCCCCCGCCUCCCGUGGGCUUCGGCCAACAGCUUCACCUGUUCAAAGGUGACAUUGUUGAGCUGACCCGUGCUGACGCUGACCUGGCAUGGUGGGAGGGAAGGAACUUGACCGUGGGUCAAAUGGGAUGGUUCCCCUGCCAAAAGGUUCAGCCGCACGUCCCCAAGCCGACCCCCGACCUGUCCGGCUUCAAGUGGUUUGCGGGGAACAUGGACCGAACCGCUGCCAAAAACCUGCUCAUGCCGCGUUCCGACGGAACUUUCCUCGUGCGGCAGAAAGACGGGGGAGAGUUCGCCAUCAGCAUCAAGUUCAACAUGGACAUCAGACACAUUAAGAUCACGUCGGCCGAGGGCCUGUACCGCAUCAACGACAAGAAAGCGUUCAAGGGUGUGAUUGAGAUGAUUCAGUUUUACCAGAAGAACUCUCUGAAGGAGUAUUUCAAGGAGGUGGACACGACUCUGCGGACGCCCUACAAGCAGCCGGAGCAAAGCAACUCGUCCAGCGACACGCCCAACACCACACCAGGGGGCAGCGUGAAGAGUUUCGGCGUGGCGAGGGCCAGGUACGACUUCUCGGCCAGGGACCGCUCGGAGCUGUCGCUGCGGGAGGGGGAUACCAUCAAGAUCCUCUCCAAGAAAGGUCACAAUGGCUGGUGGAGGGGGGAGGUGUACGGCCGGGUGGGGUUGUUUCCAGCCAAUUACGUGGAGGAGGACUACUCCGACUACUGCUGACGUGUCUCCAGAGAAGAGAUGUGAGGACCUCCGCUGUAUGUGCAGGGGGGCGUUCACGUGAUACCGGGGUUUCCACUGAAUCGCAUUAACCCAAAUGCACUUCUGAUCUGACGAUGUCUGCUUUACGUGUGUGAAAGCUCAAACUCUACAUCCCAAACCGUGGUUAUCAAUUUUCUGCAAUAAAGCGCAUGCACUUCUGGGAAGGUUUUCCUCAAGAUUUGCUGCCACUCACCCAUAAGAGCAUUAAAAGUUGUCGAACCACUGAUGCUGGGUGAUUAAGGCCUGACUCCGGUUCCUCCCUAAUGUGUUGGAUGGGGUCGAGGAUGUGAGCGAAUGUUUCCAAGGGAAACAUUUCUGGCUUUGUGCAUAGUGACAUCGCAAUGUUUAGCCUGGAAUAAAUAAUAAAGCCACAAAGCUGGAAGCACGUCACAGUCAAAAAUAUCACUGUAUGCUGCACCAUUAAGAUUUACCUUAACUGGAGCUAAAAGGUCUAAUCUAAACUUCUUCUUUUUUUUUUUUUUUAAAUAACACCAAACCAAAUAUUGGUGGAAUAAUACUCACAGCUUUUACUCUAGUAAAAGUACCAACAUCACAAUUUGUCAAAUGAAUCCAUUACAAAUUUCUUAAGUAAAAGUAUUAUUUCACAGUUUUAAAUGAAUAUAAAUAUUGAUGCAUUAACAUUUAUGCAGGAUUUUAAGGCAAGUGGAACUUCAAUCACCAAAGACUCAUGUUAAUCGUAUGACAGGGACUUUUUUUACCAGCAUCACAUAAUGCUGGUGUAUUAGCUUUUAUAAGCAGUUAGAUUUCUUCCAUUUAAAAGAGAAAAAAUAUGUAUUAGUGUAGUCAAUAGAGUCAAGUCAAUAAAGUGGCAAAAUAUUGUAAUGCUAAUGUACCUUGAGUGUGUAUUUAGGUACAAUAAAUGUGUAAAUGCAGUCUGUUCCCACACGAGAAAACAUUCUAAAGCGCAACAAUGACCAGCACUCUGUCUCAUAGGUAGGUAAAUAUCAGCUUUACUUCCAAAAUAUCAAAACAAAGGUAUUUGCAGAACAACAAUUCUCAGACAUAAUUUGAAGGUAAAAAUUAAAAGCAAAAACUUUAAUCUAUGUCAUGUCGGUGUGAAACCGCUCCUUCGCCAUUUUAGUUGGGUUGUCCAACCAUCAUGGUUUCCUGCGACCCGAUUCCAUCUAUUCAUCUCUAUGGUUGCACGUGUGUGUGUGUGUAGCGUGUGUGUAGCAUUGUCCUGUGGUCUGGUCUACUGGUAGUACAGCUCCAGGUUCAUCCCGUCGUGGAUUUCAUCUGCACAGGUCGUAGUUAAGUACAAAAGCUCAGGACAGGAGAGACAUUAUUAAAUAAAAUAUAAUUUUUU